This 26-nucleotide non-coding RNA is filed under the name Homo sapiens (human). The record is from RNAcentral. Lineage: Eukaryota; Metazoa; Chordata; Mammalia; Primates; Hominidae.
UUCAUAAGGGCCACAUCAUUCGUUGG